UAAGGUGUGAAUGACGGUGAAUGACUGU
RNAcentral lists this non-coding RNA (28 nucleotides) under Rattus norvegicus (Norway rat). Lineage: Eukaryota; Metazoa; Chordata; Mammalia; Rodentia; Muridae. The record is from RNAcentral.